UUCGCAAUGCCCGAAAGGGUGACGAAGCGACGCCGCGUGUGGGAAGAAGGCCUUCGGGUUGUAAACCACUGUCGGGAGUUAAGAAAUGCAAGGAUAUUAAUAGUGUCUUUGUUUGACUAAGGCUCCGGAGGAAGCCACGGCUAACUCUGUGCCAGCAGCCGCGGUAAUACAGAGGCGGCAAGCGUUGUUCGGAAUUAUUGGGCGUAAAGAGCACGUGGGCGGCUAUGUAAGUCGGUUGUGAAAGCCUUCCGCUCAACGGAAGAACAGCAUCCGAUACUACAUGGCUUGAGUGCGGGAGGGGAGAGUGGAACUUCUGGUGGAGCGGUGAAAUGCGUAGAUAUCAGAAGGAACGCCGGCGGCGAAAGCGGCUCUCUGGCCCAUAACUGACGCUGAGUGUGCGAAAGCUAGGGGAGCAAACGGGAUUAGAUACCCCGGUAGUCCUAGCCGUAAACGAUGGGCACUAAGUAGAGGGGUUUU
Molecule: ribosomal RNA, 477 nt
Filed under: uncultured bacterium
Lineage: Bacteria
Description: bacterial SSU rRNA
Rfam family: Bacterial small subunit ribosomal RNA
Source: RNAcentral